Long non-coding RNA from Drosophila serrata, 285 nucleotides. The record is from RefSeq and is a predicted model, not a curated record. Lineage: Eukaryota; Metazoa; Arthropoda; Insecta; Diptera; Drosophilidae.
UCGGAGCAGUGGUUCGGAAAUUAAAUUGAGAUGAUGAAAAAUAUUAUUGAACGAAAUAAAAAGAAUCGAUAGCCUCGUUAGUGAAAUCAAUUUUUUCACAGCUCUAAUGACAGCUGAAGUAUUCACAAGUUUUUUGCAAUAAUUGAUUUUGAACAUGGAUAAUUUAGUAACCUAGACGGUGUGAACGGAAGGAGAUUGUUUUCUUCUUAAUUGAUUGACGAGGCAACAGCCGGAAGGAAAGACACGUAACAUAAUUUUAGGGGAAACGCAAGAAGUUAUGCUAAG